GAUGAACGCUGGCGGCGUGCCUAAUACAUGCAAGUCGAGCGAACAGACGAGGAGCUUGCUCCUCUGACGUUAGCGGCGGACGGGUGAGUAACACGUGGAUAACCUACCUAUAAGACUGGGAUAACUUCGGGAAACCGGAGCUAAUACCGGAUAAUAUAUUGAACCGCAUGGUUCAAUAGUGAAAGACGGGUUUGCUGUCACUUAUAGAUGGAUCCGCGCCGCAUUAGCUGGUUGGUAAGGUAACGGCUUACCAAGGCAACGAUGCGUAGCCGACCUGAGCGGGUGAUCGCCGACACUGGAACUGAGCCACGGUCCAGACGCCUACGGGAGGCAGCAGUAGCGAAUCUGCCGCAAGGGGGGAAAGCCUGACGGAGCAACCCCGCGUGAGUGAUGAAGGUCUUCGGAUCGUAAAACUCUGUUACGAGGGAAGAACAAAUGUGUAAGUAACUAUGCACGUCUUGACGGUACCUAAUCAGAAAGCCACGGCUAACUACGUG
Molecule: ribosomal RNA, 497 nt
Filed under: uncultured bacterium
Lineage: Bacteria
Description: partial 16S ribosomal RNA
Rfam family: Bacterial small subunit ribosomal RNA
Source: RNAcentral